RNAcentral lists this ribosomal RNA (433 nucleotides) under uncultured bacterium. RNAcentral describes it as "partial 16S ribosomal RNA". It matches the Rfam family "Bacterial small subunit ribosomal RNA", at positions 29 to 507 of the family's 1533-position model. The record is from RNAcentral.
AACGAACGCUGGCGGCAGGCCUAACACAUGCAAGUCGAGCGAGGACUUCGGUUCUAGCGGCGGACGGGUGAGUAACGCGUGGGAAUGUGCCCUUCUCUACGGAAUAGCCCUGGGAAACUGGGAGUAAUACCGUAUACGCCCUAUUGGGGAAAGAUUUAUCGGAGAAGGAUCAGCCCGCGUUGGAUUAGGUAGUUGGUGGGGUAAUGGCCUACCAAGCCGACGAUCCAUAGCUGGUUUGAGAGGAUGAUCAGCCACACUGGGAAUGAGACACGGCCCAGACUCCUACGGGAGGCAGCAGUGGGGAAUCUUAGACAAUGGGGGCAACCCUGAUCUAGCCAUGCCGCGUGAGUGAUGAAGGCCUUAGGGUUGUAAAGCUCUUUCAGCUGGGAAGAUAAUGACGGUACCAGCAGAAGAAGCCCCGGCUAACUCCGUG